This 246-nucleotide non-coding RNA is filed under the name Bacillota bacterium. RNAcentral's name for it is "Firmicutes bacterium T-box sequence". It matches the Rfam family "T-box leader". From Rfam's summary of the family: Uncharged tRNA acts as the effector for transcription antitermination of genes in the T-box leader family. T-boxes are found upstream of many aminoacyl-tRNA synthetase genes and some amino acid biosynthetic genes usually in Gram-positive bacteria. Lineage: Bacteria; Bacillati; Bacillota. The record is from RNAcentral.
UUAAAGGUUAUGACAAAGAGGAGUACGCAUGUUGCGCCCACAGAGAGGGAUAUUCAGAGGCUGAAAGGUAUCCCGGGAAGGUGUAUGCGGAAGGUAGCUUUGGAACUGGAGAGCUGAACUCUCGGAAAGCGGAGAAAAGUAGGUUUUCACGAUUCGUCCCCGUUACAGGACUCAGAGAAGUAUGGACGCAGAGAGUUUUAGGAGUUCAUAUAAGCAAGGUGGUACCGCGAGAUAUUCGCCCUUCUU